GUUGGGUAGGGGAGCGUUCUGUAAGCCGUUGAAGGUGUGUCGUGAGGCAUGCUGGAGGUAUCAGAAGUGCGAAUGCUGACAUAAGUAACGAUAAAGCGGGUGAAAAGCCCGCUCGCCGGAAGACCAAGGGUUCCUGUCCAACGUUAAUCGGGGCAGGGUGAGUCGACCCCUAAGGCGAGGCCGAAAGGCGUAGUCGAUGGGAAACGGGUUAAUAUUCCCGUACUUGGUGUUACUGCGAAGGGGGGACGGAGAAGGCUAUGUUGGCCGGGCGACGGUUGUCCCGGUUUAAGCGUGCAGGUGUGUGUUCCAGGUAAAUCCGGUUCACUUUAACACUGAGGCGUGACGACGAGGCACCACGGUGCUGAAGCAACAAAUGCCCUGCUUCCAGGAAAAGCCUCUAAGCCUCAGGUAACAUCAAAUCGUACCCCAAACCGACACAGGUGGUCAGGUAGAGAAUACCAAGGCGCUUGAGAGAACUCGGGUGAAGGAACUAGGCAAAAUGGUGCCGUAACUUCGGGAGAAGGCACGCUGACACGUAGGUGAAGUGGUUUACCCAUGGAGCUGAAGUCAGUCGAAGAUACCAGCUGGCUGCAACUGUUUAUUAAAAACACAGCACUGUGCAAACACGAAAGUGGACGUAUACGGUGUGACGCCUGCCCGGUGCCGGAAGGUUAAUUGAUGGGGUCAGCGCAAGCGAAGCUCCUGAUCGAAGCCCCGGUAAACGGCGGCCGUAACUAUAACGGUCCUAAGGUAGCGAAAUUCCUUGUCGGGUAAGUUCCGACCUGCACGAAUGGCGUAAUGAUGGCCAGGCUGUCUCCACCCGGGACUCAGUGAAAUUGAACUCGCUGUGAAGAUGCAGUGUACCCGCGGCAAGACGGAAAGACCCCGUGAACCUUUACUAUAGCUUGACACUGAACACUGGUCCUUGAUGUGCAGGAUAGGUGGGAGGCUUUGAAGUGUGGACGCCAGUCUGCAUGGAGCCAUCCUUGAAAUACCACCCUUUAAUGGCUGGUGUUCUAACGUGGGCCCGUGAACCGGGUUGCGGACAGUGUCUGGUGGGUAGUUUGACUGGGGCGGUCUCCUCCUAAAGAGUAACGGAGGAGCACGAAGGUUGGCUAAUCCUGGUCGGACAUCAGGAGGUUAGUGCAAUGGCAUAAGCCAGCUUGACUGCGAGCGUGACGGCGCGAGCAGGUGCGAAAGCAGGUCAUAGUGAUCCGGUGGUUCUGAAUGGAAGGGCCAUCGCUCAACGGAUAAAAGGUACUCCGGGGAUAACAGGCUGAUACCGCCCAAGAGUUCAUAUCGACGGCGGUGUUUGGCACCUCGAUGUCGGCUCAUCACAUCCUGGGGCUGAAGUAGGUCCCAAGGGUAUGGCUGUUCGCCAUUUAAAGUGGUACGCGAGCUGGGUUUAGAACGUCGUGAGACAGUUCGGUCCCUAUCUGCCGUGGGCGCUGGAAGAUUGAGGGGGGCUGCUCCUAGUACGAGAGGACCGGAGUGGACGCAUCACUGGUGUUCGGGUUGUCAUGCCAAUGGCACUGCCCGGUAGCUACAUGCGGAAGAGAUAAGUGCUGAAAGCAUCUAAGCACGAAACUUGCCCCGAGAUGAAUCUUCCCUGAGCCUUUAAGGCUCCUGAAGGAACGUUGAAGACGACGACGUUGAUAGGCCGGGUGUGUAAGCGCAGCGAUGCGUUGAGCUAACCGGUACUAAUGAACCGUGAGGCUUAACCUUACAACGCCGAAG
Molecule: ribosomal RNA, 1737 nt
Filed under: Salmonella enterica subsp. houtenae serovar 40:z4,z32:-
Lineage: Bacteria; Pseudomonadati; Pseudomonadota; Gammaproteobacteria; Enterobacterales; Enterobacteriaceae
Description: bacterial LSU rRNA
Rfam family: Bacterial large subunit ribosomal RNA
Source: RNAcentral